This 402-nucleotide ribosomal RNA is filed under the name Verrucomicrobiota bacterium. RNAcentral's name for it is "Verrucomicrobia bacterium partial 16S ribosomal RNA". It matches the Rfam family "Bacterial small subunit ribosomal RNA", at positions 355 to 776 of the family's 1533-position model. Lineage: Bacteria; Pseudomonadati; Verrucomicrobiota. The record is from RNAcentral.
UGGGGAAUUUUGCACAAUGGGGGAAACCCUGAUGCAGCGACGCCGCGUGAUUUAGAAGGCCUUCGGGUUGUAAAAAUCUUUUUUAUGGGAUGAAAAUGACAGUACCAUAAGAAUAAGGUCCGGCUAAAUACGUGCCAGCAGCCGCGGUAAUACGUAUGGACCGAGCGUUGUCCGGAAUCAUUGGGCGUAAAGGGUACGUAGGCGGCCCAGUAAGUUAGAAGUGAAAUAAUAUAGCUCAACUAUAUAAAGCUUUUAAAACUGCUAGGCUUGAGAGAUGGAAGGGAAAGUGGAAUUCCUAGUGUAGCGGUGAAAUGCGCAGAUAUUAGGAGGAAUACCGGUGGCGAAGGCGACUUUCUGGCCAUAUACUGACGCUGAGGUACGAAAGCGUGGGUAGCAAACAGG